Molecule: ribosomal RNA, 468 nt
Filed under: uncultured bacterium
Lineage: Bacteria
Description: partial 16S ribosomal RNA
Rfam family: Bacterial small subunit ribosomal RNA
Source: RNAcentral
GACGAACGCUGGCGGCGUGCUUAACACAUGCAAGUCGAACGGAAAGGCCCUGCUUUUGUGGGGUGCUCGAGUGGCGAACGGGUGAGUAACACGUGAGUAACCUGCCCUUGACUUUGGGAUAACUUCAGGAAACUGGGGCUAAUACCGGAUAGGAGCUCCUGCUGCAUGGUGGGGGUUGGAAAGUUUCGGCGGUUGGGGAUGGACUCGCGGCUUAUCAGCUUGUUGGUGGGGUAGUGGCUUACCAAGGCUUUGACGGGUAGCCGGCCUGAGAGGGUGACCGGCGACAUUGGGACUGAGAUACGGCCCAGACUCCUACGGGAGGAAGCAGUGGGGAAUAUUGCACAAUGGGCGGAAGCCUGAUGCAGCAACGCCGCGUGCGGGAUGACGGCCUUCGGGUUGUAAACCGAUUUCGCCUGUGACGAAGCGUGAGUGACGGUAAUGGGUAAAGAAGCACCGGCUAACUACGUG